AUGUGCGAUCAUACCAGCACUAAUGCACCGGAUCCCAUCAGAACUCCGCUGUUAAGCGUGCUUGGGCGAGAGUAGUACUAGGAUGGGUGACCUCCUGGGAAGUCCUCGUGUUGCACCUCU
This 120-nucleotide ribosomal RNA is filed under the name Lupinus albus (white lupine). The record is from RNAcentral. Lineage: Eukaryota; Viridiplantae; Streptophyta; Magnoliopsida; Fabales; Fabaceae.